GAUGAACGCUGGCGGCGUGCCUAAUACAUGCAAGUCGAGCGAACAGACGAGGAGCUUGCUCCUUUGACGUUAGCGGCGGACGGGUGAGUAACACGUGGGUAACCUACCUAUAAGACUGGGAUAACUUCGGGAAACCGGAGCUAAUACCGGAUAAUAUUUCGAACCGCAUGGUUCGAUAGUGAAAGAUGGCUUUGCUAUCACUUAUAGAUGGACCUGCGCCGUAUUAGCUAGUUGGUAAGGUAACGGCUUACCAAGGCAACGAUACGUAGCCGACCUGAGAGCGUGAUCGGCCACACUGGAACUGAGACACGGUCCAGACUCCUACGGGAGGCAGCAGUAGGGAAGCUUCCGCAAUGGGCGAAAGCCUGACGGAGCAACGCCGCGUGAGUGAUGAAGGUCUUCGGAUCGUAAAACUCUGUUAUGAGGGAAGAACAAACGUGUAAGUAACUGUGCACGUCUUGACGGUACCUAAUCAGAAAGCCACGGCUAACUACGUG
Molecule: ribosomal RNA, 497 nt
Filed under: uncultured bacterium
Lineage: Bacteria
Description: partial 16S ribosomal RNA
Rfam family: Bacterial small subunit ribosomal RNA
Source: RNAcentral